Molecule: long non-coding RNA, 1149 nt
Filed under: Marmota monax (woodchuck)
Lineage: Eukaryota; Metazoa; Chordata; Mammalia; Rodentia; Sciuridae
Source: RNAcentral
AUUUUGACAUCUUUGUUAUUCUAUAGGUAGUGUUAUUUCAGGGCAGGAAUCAGAGAAAUGGAUGUGGAUACAAGGUUGAAUGAGGCCUUAUACUUAUGACAAAAUAAUCAAUGAGCUAUGUUUUAUAGUCUCAUUUUCUAUGGACCAAGUAGUAAGAGGUAAACUGAAGGUUGUAUGUAAAGAUUAAGUUUCUUAUCAUAAAAUGUUGGCAACCAGCUACAAUAGGGUAAAGGCUUCUUAUACAUAGAAUCCAUACAAAAAGCAUAUUGAAUAUCAUUCACAAUUUUAUUAACAUUAUAUAAUUCAUGAAAAACUGAGUUUACAACAACAUAUGCCUAAUAACAAGGUCUGGGGACAUUGUACACUCUCCAAUAUAGACAUAUUUAUACCAAUACAUGAAACUAUACUAAAUGAGAAGAAAAAUCAAUUGGAUCAACACAGAACAAUAUACAAAUGAAAACUUGUAAAGAUUUAAGCAAGAGACUAAUGGUAGAUGAAGUGUGGCUUCCAAAUGGUUUGGGAAAAAUGGACAUAGAAUCAGUUAAAGGUAAUUGAAGAAAGAUAAGUUACCCACUUUUAGUUAGAACAGCAUUUGAAAGAAAAAAGAGUCACAAAGUAAGCAAAGAUUAUUCAAAUCCAUUUGUAUUCUUUGUAGUAUUUUCCAAAAGUUUUCUACAUAUUUUAUUGCAGUCAAAUUGGGAAACAAUCCAGAAAGUUAAAAAAGACAUGUAUUGCUCCUCUGGUUUUAAAAGCAAGAAAAGGAAUAGAGAGAGAUUUAUUGAGCUAGAAAAAAUUACUAAUUAGAGGUUUUUAAAAAAAAGAACUCAGAUUACCAGAGUCUAAGUAUAAUGUAUUUCAGCCAUCCCUGGCUUCACAGGGCAUUUUCCCUUACCAAAGAAUUUGUUCACUUACAUACAGCUUAAAGAACAUUGCUGUUUUUAAUCAGUCUUUUUCAUUAAUAACAAUGAUGUACCUUUCAACAGUUUCCAGCCACAAAAAUACACAAUUUCAGAAAUCUUCUGGUUCAUCCUCCAUAUAUUCUGCCACAAUAUUCAUGAGGACAAGAUAAUAUAAACCUUUUGGCAGCCCCAUCAAGGCAUUCACUUCUUUUAAUUUUAAGGCCAAACAUAUAAUGCAUAGAAAAGUAUG